RNAcentral lists this unclassified non-coding RNA (450 nucleotides) under Hevea brasiliensis (rubber tree). Lineage: Eukaryota; Viridiplantae; Streptophyta; Magnoliopsida; Malpighiales; Euphorbiaceae. The record is from RNAcentral.
AGAUGAGUUUAGCUGGUUUGGAGAAAUGGAAACCACCUCUUCCACCAUCCUCGAGAGCCCCAUUUUUGCGGAUGAGAGGAGCACGGCGGAGGCUGACGCGGCGAUGUUUUUCCCUAUGAGAGAAGAGGAUGAAUCUCUGUUCGCCGAUCUGGGUGAGCUGCCGGAAUGCUCGGCUGUGUUCAGGCACCACCGUGGAGUGGGCCCACAGGUCCAGAUCUGCUGACACUUUACAUUGUCAUCACGCGGGUUAUAAAAUUCAUAGGUGGGCGUAUAAUGCACCACAAGAUAACAAAAUAGAAAUUAAUUUUCUUCUUCUUCUUCUUCUUCAUCCUCUCCUAAUUUACUACUCUGUUUUUCUUUUCUUGUUAAUUUAAUUCUUGUUUUUAGUUUCCAUUUUCCUUGAUUUCAGUGUAGUAAGUGAAUAAAAGUCCAAUUCUGAAGUCUGUCGCG